AGACAAAAAAUUGGGCAAUGUCCACUGUUGCGAGUUCUAUCGAUUUUGAAGCUGACGAGUCCCCAAAAUGGUGGGGGAAAGACACACAAGGUCUUACUGUAAAGAAAAUGAUUGAAGAAAUUAGACAAUACCAGAUCCAAUGGAAAAAUCAGAAGGACUCUACUAGUACUGAUGGGAAAAUUCCUAAACAGGUUGAUCACGAUUUUUUAAGCAAAUUUCUUUACCAUAUAAACAUUGAAGAAGGGCAUGGGUGUGAUACGAUGGAAGGAGUUAAAUCUUGCCUCAUCAUAGAUACUAUCACUCCACAGCGGCCUUUAUCUGAAAAGGAAAAGGAAACUGUAAACCUACGAGAUGCUUAUGAAUACCUUCUCGACGAGGUCAAGAGAGUCGAAGAUAGUGGUGAGGCCACAAAAUUGCAUGGGUUACUAGAAAUAAAUUUAGUUAAGCAUGUACACAAGUUGAUCCUUAAAGAUAUUGAGUUGCCCAAGAACUUAACUAAACCUGGUGAAUUCAGUAAAGGUAAGCGAUGUACAAGUUUUAGAGGGGAAGAGUAUUUUUACGCGAACCCGGAAGAUUUGGAAAGAAAGGUACAGACACUAUUGGACAGGUACAAUGAUUUGAUAACAUAUUGUGUGAAAGACGAGGAAAAUUUGGAGGACCAAAUUUAUAAGAUGUUCAAGACUUGCAGCUGGCUGUUGUUUGAACUUUUGGACUUGCACCCUUUCAGCGACGGCAACGGUAGAUUGUGCCGAUUACUCUGUAGUUAUGCAUUAUCAUCUAUGACACCAUUUCCCACCCCGAUUUAUAAUGUUUGGAGUGAAUCGAAGAAAGAUGAUUAUAUAGAAGCUUUGGUAGAUGCAAGGAAGUCAAAAAACAGGCAACCCACAAGUUUGACGACAAUGAUUAUUGAAUGCAAUUAUCGUGGCUGGAAGAGAUUUUUCGAAAAAAGGUAAUUAAUCGACUUUUUCGUAGAUAUUGAACGAAGUUGGUUUUUUUUAAAUUCAUAAACCUGUAUAGCCGGGAGAAGUAAGUCUGAGUCUGAAUAAGGCUUGUGACGUCAAAUCGGGAACGGAAGUAAUAGAAUCCUUGUCAUUUUAUACCUUGCCACAGUAACAUCCGAAUGCAACACAACCUGAAGGCAUUUUUCUGUCAAAUGUUUGACCAAAUCCUCAAAACCUACAUGAGAGCCACUACUUCCGUUCCCGAUUUGACGUCACAAGCUUUUUUCAAACUCUUCUCUCCCGGCCAUAUUUUAAGAAAGCAUAUAGAUUAGAGGAACUGAGGAAGUCAUGUUUAGAACCAAAUAUGCCCGGUAAUAGUUAUCGGAUGGUCGAAUGUAAUAUAUCAUACAACUUUUAGAGAGGAAAUAAAUACGUCUAAAUACAUC
Paramuricea clavata is the source of this 1387-nucleotide non-coding RNA. The record is from the annotation of a GenBank genome assembly. NCBI's taxonomy places the organism in Eukaryota, Metazoa, Cnidaria, Anthozoa, Malacalcyonacea, Plexauridae.